CCCCGCCCCCGACGCGCCCGUCCGCUGGCUCCCGGGAGGAGCGGGGCGCGCGGCGGCGGCGGCGGCCGCUUGCGUUCCUUCGUACGGAGCCGAGCGGAGGGGGCCGGAAGUCCUGGGCCUCCCCGACCGGCCAGCGGCGUCGGUGCAGGCGCUCGGCGAAGGAGACGCGCGUGUUUUCGCACAGCAGCCGGAGACCGGGAGGGCUUUGCUAGCUAGCGGUGGCCGCGUUGUGUUGCGCGAGUGUUUGCCUGCCUGUGUGCCUGGAGCUGCUUCCCGGCCGGUGGCACCGUGACGAGCACUGGCUGCGGCGUUACGCCGGGUUCUAGCCACACGAUCGAGCCUGCGACCUUUUUGAAGUUUCAGCCGACUUGUCCACCCGUGACCCUGGAAUCGUGGGGUGCGUGAGGAAGUGUCGCCGGCUCACUAGCUGCUUGUACCCACACUUCCUCUGAAGGCUUUUAUCUGCAGCGGUUAGCCUGCAGCCGUUGUGCCUUAGCCACCCGAGUUAGAGCUCCAGGAAACCGUCCUCUCCCUCGUCGGUAUCCGCUAGUACCUCGAUGACCGACCAGCCUAAGACUGACAGAUGCCUGAGACUGAGCCCAGGGUUUUGGAGUUGAUGGCCAAUGCUCUUCUGCUAACUACAGCUCCAUCUCACAUCAAGGUUUCUGAAAAAACUAACCAGCUGUGUUUACUAAGGACAGAACAGUGCUUAGUUCAAGAAAGCUUUGUAACGCACUUCACUAUUAGGGGAAUAUAUGACGCAAACAGAACAACUAACACAAUCUAAAAUUUGCAUUUGUGGGUAUUAGAUAAAGUCUAUCCUAUUCUCUGAA
Molecule: long non-coding RNA, 833 nt
Organism: Mesocricetus auratus (golden hamster)
Lineage: Eukaryota; Metazoa; Chordata; Mammalia; Rodentia; Cricetidae
Exons: 2
Source: RefSeq, a predicted model, not a curated record